ACGGGCUCCACCUGGCUCACCUGAGGGGACGCCAAGUGUCUGAGCGGGGAGGCCAGCCCUGCCUGCGGGAGGAGCCCUGUCUGAAUGGUCUCUCGCCUGCCCCACCCUCACCCCACCCUGAAUGGAGAGGCCCUGGAAGAUGAAGCACCACCUGGAAAGGGAGGCGACGUACAGAACAGAGGCGCCGCUACCGAGCUAGCUGAACGGACCAUGCCUCAGUCUAGCCUGGAACUUCCUCCCACCACAGCCUGCAGAGACUCGGAGUACAGUGCCAUGCUCAUCCUAGAUCUUUCUUACUGGUUGCGGAUCCGCAGCAGAUUUUUCUCCUGGGCCGACAGCUUCCUUGGGUCAGGAUAGACAGACAGCUCACUGGCUGUUUCUUCAGACCGGCUCCGGGUCUGUCCCAGCUGUUUCUCAAGCUCUCGAACCUGAAGGUGGUUCCACAACAGGUCUGCAGUCAGACUCGACCCCUCAGAGGGGCCACCCUGUGAUGUGAUGGAUGUACGACCCCCCUGGACAGAUGACACCACAGUUUCAGAUGGAUGUGGAGGCCCCUAGGAGAGGGACUGUGGUGGGGGAGGGAUGGAAGGGGUCUGUGGCAGCAUCCUGAGCAGAACAAGGGAAGACACCAGAGAGGCUUUGCUUGACAAAGAGAAACUUCAAAGUAAACUAGAAAAAUCACCCUAUCUCUGAGGCCAAGAAGCAGAUGUGGAGCCCCGGGAACUUGGGAGGGAAAGGACAGCAGGUCUCAGGAAUAGCUGACAGAGAAAUUCCUGACAAAGUACCAGGAAUAGCUAACAGACAGGCCACCUGAGCCUGGGGAGCUCCUUGGGAGGCCACAGGUUCCUGCAGGAGAUGCUGCGAGGGAGGGCAGGGUGUGGAAGCUGGGAGACCAGCUCAGAGCCUCGCUGGCUGUGUGACUCUGCACAGAUUACGUCUCUGAAUCUCAGGUCCCUCGUCUGUUAAGGGGGUCUAUGAGUAUACCCUGUAUAACGUUAUGAGAAUUCAGUAUCCCAACUUGUCUGAGCCUGGGACUCCCCAAGACGUUUCUUGGGGUGACAAAUCUUGGGGCCCAUUCCAGGGGAAGAACCCUGGGAUCUUCAUUUUAAACAGGUGCUAUAGAUAUUUGUUAGGUUAGGCAACUUUGAGAAACCCCAAAAUGGCCCGGGGGAAGCCCUCAGCACAGGGCAGGUGGAAGUCAUCCUAUAAAACAAUGGCUUUAUUACAUUGAGUUUAACGCGGAUAACCCCUAGGGCCCUUCUAACCCUGAUUUCUGUGUCAACACAACAUAAAUGGUGUGACCCUGAAAGUGUUAAUCACUCAGUCAUGUCCGACUCUUUGCGACCACGACCACGUGGACCGUAGCCCACCAGGCUCCUGUGUCCAUGGCCAGGAGAAAAAUUCACUGGGAUCCCUGGUAAAGGGCUGCAGGAUCAGCGCCCUCGCAUGGCACUGUGUGGUAAUUCCAUUUAAGCCGUAAAGAACACUUGCUUUUAACCAUUUAUUUACACAGCUUUACAACACUAACGAUAAUAACUAAAGUGCUGAGUGCUUAUUAUGGCCAGGCACUGUGCUGGGUGCUUCCCAAAUGUUAUUUUGUCUAAUCCAUAACAAUCCUAUAAAGAAAGGUAUUAUUAUCUCCAUUUUACAGGUGCGGGGACUGAGAUGCAGAGAGAUGAAGAGAUUUGUUCAAAGACACCAAACAUGUAGACCAAUGACUGAGGCCAGACUCAAACUCAGGUCUCAGGAAGCUCAGGGCCACACACUGGUUGUUAGUUACAGUUUUUUAGAGACCUCUUCAUCUGGCUUCAAGGAUCCCACAGGAGACCCUGAGGGCAAAAGCCAGUGGAGAACCUGGGGUGAAGGCAAGCCUGCACGUGGCAGAUAGUGGAAGUGGCCCACCUAAUUGUGCGCCUCUUAGUUUCGUGGUCCAGCUAACCUCAGACAGCGUUUCCUCCAUGCCAGGCACUGUGGUAAGCGGUUUACACAUGUGCACUCAACUCAGUCCCCCCACAACCUUAGGGCAGAUGCUGUCAUUAUCCACAGUACAAAGAGGAGGAAACUGAGACACAGAGAUGACCCAGCUUGCCUGAGGCCACACAGUUGGACGAGGAUCUGUUGAGCCCGACCCCUCCAGGUCCCAGGUGAGGACAGGAGCUGCUGGAUGUUCACAUCUUCGCCAACCUCACUAGUCAAAACCUGAAAAAGGUGGGGCCGUCUGUAUGACCCAAAGCACAAUAUGUGCAGAAACAGUGCUGGGUGCCUGGCGUUCCCAGAAGACCCGGCCUCCACUUGCACAACCACCCCCUCUCCAGCCUCCCCACCUCGCAGGACAGUUGAACACACUGUAUGAACAGCUCUCCCUGGGAAAGCAGUAAACCCACCUUUCCCAGCACUUCCCGGUGAUGCUCAGAGCAGACAAGGAGCUGGUGACACUGCCCAGGUGGGGCCGCCUGCUCUUGACACAUUCUGGGAUGAGUGAAUCACAAAGAUGACCAAGACCUGCUUCCUAAAUUUGUUCACCUGUCACCCUGAACUGAGAUUGUUCUGGAGGUUACAGGGACGACCUCACCACAGGGCCUUGCCCUCUGUGCAAAGCCACAGACAAGGGGCCUUGUCUGAGUGCAGCAAGGCAGGGGCCUACCAAAUGUCAGCCGGGGAUGUUUGCUUCCAGCAGGGCCCAGAUUUGUGGCUGUUACAGGGAGAUGUUCGGGCUCAACCUCGAGGCUCUGAGGUAGAAGCAGCACACCGCAGCUUGUGCCCUGGGCCCCUCUGUAGCCUGUCACGGGAACUGAUCUAGCGUACCGAGUCUCUGGUGCUUAUUUCCACAAUAGAACUCUGUUUUGGAAAUCUUGGCUGGUCUGAGUGGUUCCAGCAGGGAAGACAAAUGCCAGAGAAUUCACUAUGUAAAUAAAAAUAAAUAAUGAACCAGCUGGGCCUGCCUCCCAA
Odocoileus virginianus texanus is the source of this 2949-nucleotide non-coding RNA. The record is from RefSeq and is a predicted model, not a curated record. Lineage: Eukaryota; Metazoa; Chordata; Mammalia; Artiodactyla; Cervidae.